AUUGAACGCUGGCGGCAGGCCUAACACAUGCAAGUCGAGCGGAGCGGCGGACGGGUGCGUAAUACCUAGGAAUCUGCCUGGGAUUGGGGGAUAACGUUCGGAAACGGACGAUAAUACCGCAUACUAUCAGAUGAGCCUAGGUCGGAUGAGCUAGUUGGUGAGGUAAUGGCUCCACAAGUCUACGAUCCGUAACUGGGCUGCGAGGAUGUUCAGUCACACUGGAACUGUGACACGGUCCAAACUCCUACGGGAGGCAGCAGUGGGGAAUAUGGGACAAUGGGCGAAAGCCUGAUCCAGCCAGGCCGCGUGUGUGAAGAAGGUCUUCGGAUUGUAAAGCACUUUAAGUUGGGAGGCGUUACCGACAGAAUAAGCACCGGCUAACUCUGUGCCAGCAGCCGCGGUAAUAC
Molecule: ribosomal RNA, 407 nt
Filed under: uncultured bacterium
Lineage: Bacteria
Description: partial 16S ribosomal RNA
Rfam family: Bacterial small subunit ribosomal RNA
Source: RNAcentral